Molecule: ribosomal RNA, 492 nt
Filed under: uncultured bacterium
Lineage: Bacteria
Description: partial 16S ribosomal RNA
Rfam family: Bacterial small subunit ribosomal RNA
Source: RNAcentral
AGUGAACGCUGGCGGCAGGCCUAACACAUGCAAGUCGAACGGCAGCAGAGUAAGAGCUUCUGGUUACGGGUGGGGAGUGGCGGGUAGGGGAGGGGAAUAUGGGUAUCUACUUUUGCGAACGUGAUAACGCAGGGACUCAUACGCCAUUAGUGCUGACGGCGUACGGGUGGAAGCAGCGGACCUUCCGACCUCGCAUGAGUCAAGGUGCCAAUGUCGGAUUAGCUAGUUGGCGGGGUAAAGGCCCACCAAGGCGACGAUCCGUAGCUGGUCUGAGAGGAUGAUCAGCCACACUGGAACUGAGACACGGUCCAGACUCCUACGGGAGGCAGCAGUGGGGAAUAUUGGACAAUGGGCGCAAGCCUGAUCCAGCCAUACCGCGUGUGUGAAGAAGGCCUUCGGAUUGUAAAGCCCUUUUGUUGGGAAAGAAGAGCAGCAAGUUAAUACCCCGCUGUUCUGACGGUACCCAAAGAAUAAGCACCGGCUAACUUCGUG